This 495-nucleotide ribosomal RNA is filed under the name uncultured bacterium. Its description in RNAcentral is "partial 16S ribosomal RNA". It matches the Rfam family "Bacterial small subunit ribosomal RNA", at positions 28 to 507 of the family's 1533-position model. The record is from RNAcentral.
GACGAACGCUGGCGGCGUGCCUAAUACAUGCAAGUAGAACGCUGAAGGAGGAGCUUGCUUCUCUGGAUGAGUUGCGAACGGGUGAGUAACGCGUAGGUAACCUGCCUGGUAGCGGGGGAUAACUAUUGGAAACGAUAGCUAAUACCGCAUAAGAGUAGAUGUCGCAUGACAUUUGCUUAAAGGUUGCAAUUGCAUCACUACCAGAUGGACCUGCGUUGUAUUAGCUAGUUGGUGAGGUAACGGCUCACCAAGGCAACGAUACAUAGCCGACCUGAGAGGGUGAUCGGCCACCCUGGGACUGAGACACGGCCCAGACUCCUACGGGAGGCAGCAGUAGGGAAUCUUCGGCAAGGGACGGAAGUCUGACCGAGCAACGCCGCGUGAGUGAAGAAGGUUUUCGGAUCGUAAAGCUCUGUUGUAAGAGAAGAACGAGUGUGAGAGUGGAAAGUUCACACUGUGACGGUAUCUUACCAGAAAGGAACGGCUAACUACGUG